UCCGUAGGUGAACCUGCGGAAGGAUCAUUAUUGA
This 34-nucleotide ribosomal RNA is filed under the name Hypsizygus marmoreus. RNAcentral's name for it is "partial 18S ribosomal RNA". Lineage: Eukaryota; Fungi; Basidiomycota; Agaricomycetes; Agaricales; Lyophyllaceae. The record is from RNAcentral.